RNAcentral lists this ribosomal RNA (468 nucleotides) under uncultured bacterium. RNAcentral's name for it is "partial 16S ribosomal RNA". It matches the Rfam family "Bacterial small subunit ribosomal RNA", at positions 28 to 507 of the family's 1533-position model. The record is from RNAcentral.
GACGAACGCUGGCGGCGUGCUUAACACAUGCAAGUCGAACGGAAAGGCCCUGCUUUUGUGGGGUGCUCGAGUGGCGAACGGGUGAGUAACACGUGAGUAACCUGCCCUUGACUUUGGGAUAACUUCAGGAAACUGGGGCUAAUACCGGAUAGGAGCUCCUGCUGCAUGGUGGGGGUUGGAAAGUUUCGGCGGUUGGGGAUGGACUCGCGGCUUAUCAGCUUGUUGGUGGGGUAGUGGCUUACCAAGGCUUUGACGGGUAGCCGGCCUGAGAGGGUGACCGGCCACAUUGGGACUGAGAUACGGCCCAGACUCCUACGGGAGGCAGAAGUGGGGUAUAUUGCACAAUGGGCGGAAGCCUGAUGCAGCAACGCCGCGUGCGGGAUGACGGCCUUCGGGUUGUAAACCGCUUUCGCCUGUGACGAAGCGUGAGUGACGGUAAUGGGUAAAGAAGCACCGGCUAACUACGUG